AGAACGAACGCUGGCGGCAUGCCUAAUACAUGCAAGUCGAACGAACACUUCGGUGUUAGCGGCGCACGGGUGCGUAACGCGUGGGAAUCUGCCCUUGGGUUCGGAAUAACAGUUGGAAACGACUGCUAAUACCGGAUGAUAUCGAAAGAUCAAAGAUUUAUCGCCCAGGGAUGAGCCCGCGUAGGAUUAGCUAGUUGGUGAGGUAAAGGCUCACCAAGGCACGAUCCUUAGCUGGUCUGAGAGGAUGAUCAGCCACACUGGGACUGAGACACGGCCCAGACCUCCUACGGGAGGCAGCAGUAGGGAAUAUUGGACAAGUGGGCGACAAGGCCUGAUCCGAGCAAGUGCCGCGGUGGGUGAAGUGAACGGCCGUUUAAGGGGUUAGUAAAGGCUUACCGUUUUACCCGAGAUGGAAUUAA
Molecule: ribosomal RNA, 419 nt
Filed under: uncultured soil bacterium
Lineage: Bacteria
Description: bacterial SSU rRNA
Rfam family: Bacterial small subunit ribosomal RNA
Source: RNAcentral